This 253-nucleotide ribosomal RNA is filed under the name uncultured bacterium. RNAcentral's name for it is "partial 16S ribosomal RNA". It matches the Rfam family "Bacterial small subunit ribosomal RNA", at positions 524 to 776 of the family's 1533-position model. The record is from RNAcentral.
UACGUAGGGCGCGAGCGUUGUCCGGAAUUAUUGGGCGUAAAGAGCUCGUAGGCGGCCUGUUGCGUCCGCUGUGAAAUCCCGGGGCUCAACCCUGGGCGUGCAGUGGAUACGGGCAGGCUGGAGGCAGGCAGGGGAGAACGGAAUUCCCGGUGUAGCGGUGAAAUGCGCAGAUAUCGGGAGGAACACCGGUGGUGCAGACGGCUCUCUGGACCGCGACUGACGCUGAGACACGAAAGCGUGGGUAGCAAACAGG